GAUGAACGCUAGCUACAGGCUUAACACAUGCAAGUCGCGGGGCAGCAUGGGGGUUGCUUGCAAUCCCCGAUGGCGACCGGCGCACGGGUGAGUAACGCGUAUCCAACCUGCCCUUCACCACGGGAUAACCCGGCGAAAGUCGGACUAAUACCGUAUGUUGUCCAUUGACGGCAUCCGAUUUGGACGAAAGGUUUGGCGGUGACGGAGGGGGAUGCGUCCGAUUAGCUGGACGGUGGGGUGUGGGCCCACCGUGGCGACGAUCGGUAGGGGUUCUGAGAGGAAGGUCCCCCACACUGGAACUGAGACACGGUCCAGACUCCUACGGGAGGCAGCAGUGAGGAAUAUUGGUCAAUGGGCGUAAGCCUGAACCAGCCAAGUAGCGUGCAGGAUGACGGCCCUAUGGGUUGUAAACUGCUUUUAUGCGGGGAUAAAGUGGCCCACGUGUGGGUUUUUGCAGGUACCGCAUGAAUAAGGACCGGCUAAUUCCGUG
RNAcentral lists this ribosomal RNA (490 nucleotides) under uncultured bacterium. Its description in RNAcentral is "partial 16S ribosomal RNA". It matches the Rfam family "Bacterial small subunit ribosomal RNA", at positions 28 to 507 of the family's 1533-position model. The record is from RNAcentral.